This 444-nucleotide ribosomal RNA is filed under the name Holothuria mammata. Its description in RNAcentral is "partial 16S ribosomal RNA". It matches the Rfam family "Bacterial large subunit ribosomal RNA", at positions 1963 to 2621 of the family's 2925-position model. Lineage: Eukaryota; Metazoa; Echinodermata; Holothuroidea; Aspidochirotida; Holothuriidae. The record is from RNAcentral.
AAUCAUUUGUCUUUUAAAUGAAGACUUGUAUGAACGGCAAAACCUCCUCCAACUGUCUCCCCUCCCAUCCUUCCAAAUUUCCUCCUGCGUGAAGAAGCGCAGAUACACCAGAAAGACGAGAAGACCCUGUCGAGCUUUAACCACUAAGUGGGCCUUACCCUUUCAGGCACCACCCAAAGGUUUUGGUUGGGGCAACCACGGAGAAAAAACAUCCUCCAGAACGAAUAGAAGAAAGCUUUUCACUAUUAUUACGACUAAGAACCAGGAACUGGUAUUCGGAAAGAGUUACCGCAGGGAUAACAGCGUCAUCUCCUCUAAGAGUCCUUAUUGACNAGGAGGUUUGCGACCUCGAUGUUGGAUUGGGGCCCCCUUAGGGUGCAGAAGCUCUAAACGGUUAGACUGUUCGUCUAUUAAAGCCCUACAUGAUCUGAGUUCAAACCGGAG